Molecule: long non-coding RNA, 860 nt
Organism: Humulus lupulus (European hop)
Lineage: Eukaryota; Viridiplantae; Streptophyta; Magnoliopsida; Rosales; Cannabaceae
Exons: 3
Source: RefSeq, a predicted model, not a curated record
CGUUGGAUGUCUCCACUUAUAAAUCACUACCAGCCUUCUUCUUCCUCACACGAACCCGAGAGCAAACCAGAGAGAAGAAUUGGGCGAUUUGGGGCUGCGUUUUUAGGGUUCUAAGGUUGUGAUUUUUGUGGUGAGAUUUUAGAGAGUAUUUUGCAUCAAAAUUCCAAUAUCAAUCACACAUUUGAGCGAAUUUGAUUACUAAGUGAAGUAACUUUGCUAGCUUUUGGAUUAAAGAUUGCAAGAGGUACAUAUAUAUUCUCUUACUUCUACUUUUAAUAUUAUUAAACAAAUGUUAGAGGAGUUUGAAUAUCUUAAAUAUUCAUCCAUAGUGAAGUAGGUUCUGAGAUUAAAAUUGUGUGCUGCGGUGAUAACAGAAGGUUGAGAACUUGUGUGUAUUAGUGAAGUAGGUUCUGAUAAAUUUUACUGUGUGCUGCGGAGCUAUAAGGAAUAAACUUAUUGUGUGUUGUUUGAAUUGUUUGUUUUGCUAUUCACAUGCAGAUGGUUAGGUCACUAUUAUAGGGGAAAUGCUGCCCGAUUUUAUCUAGGAUAAAAAACAAUUAGUUUUAUAUAGACAUUCUAUAAGGAAGAAACUUAUUGUAUGUUGUUUGAAUUGUUUGUUUUGAUAUUCACAUGCAGAUGGUUAGGUCACUAUUAUAGGGGAAAUGCUGCCCGAUUUUAUCUAGGAUAAUAAAAAAUUAGUUUUAUAUAGACAUACAACUUUAUCACGUGCUUAUUUAGUGUUGUUUCUUUUCUUUUCCAUAGACAUAGAAGAAUAUAUGGAUAAACAGUGGAUGUCAGCAAAUAGGUUAUCUGCGGAAUUUAGGAAUGGGGUUGAUUUGUUCUUAAGGUUUUGUUCGGAA